RNAcentral lists this ribosomal RNA (253 nucleotides) under uncultured bacterium. Its description in RNAcentral is "partial 16S ribosomal RNA". It matches the Rfam family "Bacterial small subunit ribosomal RNA", at positions 524 to 776 of the family's 1533-position model. The record is from RNAcentral.
UACGGAGGGUGCAAGCGUUAUCCGGAUUCACUGGGUUUAAAGGGUGCGUAGGCGGGCAGGUAAGUCCGUGGUGAAAUCUCUGAGCUUAACUCAGAAACUGCCAUGGAUACUAUUUGUCUUGAAUGUUGUAGAGGUAAGCGGAAUAUGUCAUGUAGCGGUGAAAUGCUUAGAUAUGACAUAGAACACCAAUUGCGAAGGCAGCUUACUACACAAAUAUUGACGCUGAGGCACGAAAGCGUGGGGAUCAAACAGG